CUGCUGACAACGCUCUUGAGUCAUUGUUAAACAAAUUAAACCUCGACCGUGUGUUGCCAUAAAAUUAAUGGCAUCCGCUGAAAUAUGUUCAGCAGCAAUGAUUA
RNAcentral lists this antisense RNA (104 nucleotides) under Pseudoalteromonas citrea. Its description in RNAcentral is "Vibrio RNA AS9". It matches the Rfam family "Vibrio RNA AS9". From Rfam's summary of the family: Identified by direct cloning an parallel sequencing experiments with 5S/tRNA depletion. Confirmed by Northern blot. Lineage: Bacteria; Pseudomonadati; Pseudomonadota; Gammaproteobacteria; Alteromonadales; Pseudoalteromonadaceae. The record is from Rfam by way of RNAcentral.